Molecule: ribosomal RNA, 442 nt
Filed under: uncultured bacterium
Lineage: Bacteria
Description: partial 16S ribosomal RNA
Rfam family: Bacterial small subunit ribosomal RNA
Source: RNAcentral
CCUACGGGUGGCAGCAGUGGGGAAUAUUGGGCAAUGGGCGCAAGCCUGACCCAGCAACGCCGCGUGAAGGAAGAAGGCUUUCGGGUUGUACACUUCUUUUCUGGGGGACGAACAAAUGACGGUAACCCAGGAAUAAGCCACGGCUAACUACGAGCCAGCAGCCGCGGUAAUACGGAGGGGGCAAGCGUUAUCCGGAUUUAUUGGGGGUAAAGGGCGUGGAGGCGGGAAUGCAAGUCAGAUGUGAAAGCUCAGGGCUCAACCCUGAGCCUGCAUUUGAAACUGUGUUUCUUUAGGGCUGGAGAGGCAAUCGGAAUUCCGUGUGUAGCGGUGAAAUGCGUAGAUAUACGGAGGAACACCAGUGGCGAAGGCGGAUUGCUGGACAGUAACUGACGCUGAUGCGCGAAAGCGUGGGGAGCAAACAGGAUUAGAUACCCCGGUAGUC